AAAAAAGCUAGUGGUCCAUGCAAGGCCACUAACCCUAUAGACAGAUGCUGGCGGUGCAAUCCCAAGUGGGCUACCCACCGAAAGAGGCUAGCAGAAUGCGUCCUUGGCUUUGGCCACAGAACCACUGGUGGAAAGGACGGCAAGAUUUACAUAGUCACUGAUCCCUCAGACAAUGACAUGGUUAACCCCAAACCUGGAACCCUUCGCCAUGCAGUGAUCCAAAAGGGACCCCUUUGGAUCGUUUUUGCCAAUAGUAUGAUAAUCAGACUCAACCAGGAACUCAUGAUAACCAGCGACAAAACCAUUGAUGCUAGAGGAGCCAACGUCCAUAUUGCUGGUGGUGCUGGUCUUACUCUUCAGUUCGUCAAGAAUGUUAUCAUCCAUGGCCUCCACAUUCAUGACAUUGUCGCCGGCUCCGGCGGAAUAAUUAGGGAUUCCGUUGAUCACUAUGGAUUCAGGACGAGGAGCGACGGUGAUGGGAUUUCCAUCUACGGAUCCACCAACAUUUGGAUUGAUCAUGUUUCCAUGUCCAAUUGCCAGGAUGGGCUGAUUGAUGCUAUAAUGGGUUCAAGUGCCAUUACUAUCUCCAACUGCCAUUUCACCAAACACAAUGAGGUGAUGUUGUUCGGUGCAAGCGAUGGCCACACCGGUGAUUCUCUAAUGCAAAUCACGGUGGCGUUCAACCACUUCGGUAGAGGAUUGGUGCAAAGAAUGCCUAGGUGCCGAUGGGGUUUUGUCCAUGUUGUCAAUAAUGACUACACUCACUGGCUCAUGUACGGCAUUGGUGGUAGCCGCAAUCCUACCAUCAUCAGCCAAGGAAACCGAUUCAUUGCUCCUGAUAACGUUUCUGCUAAAGAGGUUACAAAGAGGGAUUACGCAAUGGAAAGUGAGUGGAAGAAUUGGAAUUGGAGAUCA
Molecule: unclassified non-coding RNA, 915 nt
Filed under: Hevea brasiliensis (rubber tree)
Lineage: Eukaryota; Viridiplantae; Streptophyta; Magnoliopsida; Malpighiales; Euphorbiaceae
Source: RNAcentral